UACGUAGGUGGCAAGCGUUGUCCGGAAUUAUUGGGCGUAAAGCGCGCGCAGGCGGUUCUUUAAGUCUGAUGUGAAAGCCCACGGCUCAACCGUGGAGGGUCAUUGGAAACUGGGGAACUUGAGUACAGAAGAGGAAAGCGGAAUUCCACGUGUAGCGGUGAAAUGCGUAGAGAUGUGGAGGAACACCGGUGGCGAAGGCGGCAUCCUGGACCAAUAUUGACGCUGAGGAGCGAAAGCCAGGGGAGCAAACGGG
This 253-nucleotide ribosomal RNA is filed under the name uncultured bacterium. Its description in RNAcentral is "partial 16S ribosomal RNA". It matches the Rfam family "Bacterial small subunit ribosomal RNA", at positions 524 to 776 of the family's 1533-position model. The record is from RNAcentral.